Arachis ipaensis is the source of this 641-nucleotide non-coding RNA. The record is from RefSeq and is a predicted model, not a curated record. NCBI's taxonomy places the organism in Eukaryota, Viridiplantae, Streptophyta, Magnoliopsida, Fabales, Fabaceae.
UAAUGAACCCUAAUCUAAUUUCUUCUACCCCUUCAUACAAAGAAGAAGAACUAUGAAAAAUUAUUCUUCACCCUUAUAUACCAAUCUGCCAAUAAAGAGCAACCUCAACCCUAAUCCCCUAUCCGGGCAGCAGCAGUCUAUCCUCACCCUCUCUCUUCCUCGUAGCCGUGCUCUCUCUCCAUCGGUCUUCAUGCAGUAGCAACACGCAUCAACAGCUGUCUUGUCGUUCUCCGUCAUUUUCCUCUCCGUCUGGACAAAGAAAAAAAGAACACAGUUCCUUCACGUCGUUUCAAUUUUGAGUAGGGAUUUGGCGUCGCAGCAAGUUGAGGUGGAGAAGGAGAUUGAGGAGCCAGAAGAUGCCAUUCCUAUUCCAUCUUCCAAAGCAGUUAUGGUUGAAAAGGCAUUCAAUUUAGCUGCACAAAAGAUGGAAUUUAAAUGUGUGUCCAAGAAUUACACAAGCUGAUGGGGAGUCAAGUUUGUUCUAUACCGAAAUCCCAGGAGGCACAAUUCUGCUGCACCGUGUUGAGGAGAAGGUGACAUGGGGUGUUUGCUUGCCCGCAUCUUAUCCACUAGUGAAGCUAAUAGAAGGAAUGCUAAUAAAGUGGUUGUGAACUAAGGCUGCGUUUGUUUGUUUAGACAUG